UACGUAGGGCGCGAGCGUUGUCCGGAUUUAUUGGGCGUAAAGAGCUCGUAGGCGGUCUGUUGCGUCGGCUGUGAAAACCCGGGGCUCAACUCCGGGCCUGCAGCCGAUACGGGCAGACUAGAGUUCGGCAGGGGAGACUGGAAUUCCUGGUGUAGCGGUGAAAUGCGCAGAUAUCAGGAGGAACACCGGUGGCGAAGGCGGGUCUCUGGGCCGAUACUGACGCUGAGGAGCGAAAGCGUGGGGAUCAAACAGG
Molecule: ribosomal RNA, 253 nt
Filed under: uncultured bacterium
Lineage: Bacteria
Description: partial 16S ribosomal RNA
Rfam family: Bacterial small subunit ribosomal RNA
Source: RNAcentral